AAAUUUGUAAGGUUUGGUGUGUUCAUUUGAGUGGGUGCCAGACGUAAUGGGCCCGGGAUUGAAUUAGUUUAGAUCAAAAUUUGAUGUAAUUAUCGCAGAGAAACGCUUUCUUACGAGUGUUUAUCUCGAGCCUGCUGUGUUCAGCAUCUUUCUUGGUGUUUUGGGAGAAGCAGACAGGAGUUAAGUCCAAGUCCCCGCCCUCACAGAGCUCAGGUGGCUUGGGGGAAGCAGCAAGUUGUCAAAUUCCCUAGUUGAAUUUGCUUUGGACAUCAGUGUGAAGCAGAACUGAUAUGCCACUUGAAUUAAU
Molecule: small RNA, 307 nt
Filed under: Pan troglodytes (chimpanzee)
Lineage: Eukaryota; Metazoa; Chordata; Mammalia; Primates; Hominidae
Description: processed transcript
Source: RNAcentral